This is a long non-coding RNA of Armigeres subalbatus, 621 nucleotides long. RefSeq lists it as uncharacterized. The record is from RefSeq and is a predicted model, not a curated record. The transcript is spliced from 3 exons. NCBI's taxonomy places the organism in Eukaryota, Metazoa, Arthropoda, Insecta, Diptera, Culicidae.
AAAAAAAUAAUAUUGUGCUACGGAAAAUAUCGUACUGUCUAUAUGAAAAGUGCUGAAUUUUCUUUAAACUAAAAGUAAAAUAAUUUGAAAUGAUAGUUAUAACUCCUAUUUAAGAGUGUUUUCAAAUAUCUUUGGGUGUAGAUUUAAAAGUUCCUCCUUUUAUAUCAAAAAUUGUUAAACUGUCAAACCAUCCAGCUUCUCGAGGUCUUUUGACAGCAGACAGUUAUCAGUUUUGUUUUUACUCUUCCCCUUCCCACGCAAGAAUUUGUUUGUUUUUAUUCGCGAAAAUCAAACCGCCACGGGUAAAAACAUCUUCCGAAAAAAAGUUUUGUCUGAUUCCUUUUGGCAUGGCUGCUCGUCAUAAAGGAAAAAGUUGUAAACCGUUUGCUUCAACAUUGACCGCUACUGGAUAGGCCUGCCGUUUGCUGUGCGAUUAUUUUGACUGGAGAAAAGUCAAACUGCUUUGGAUGCUAACUACCAUCAGCGGUUUUAUGCUGAUUGUCGGUGGAAAUGGACAAUGAUGGAAGACGUCCUUACAGUCUCACAAAACUUUCUGAAAAUGCCCGUUUUCCGUUCAACGCCAGCUGCAUUCGAAGAGGGCACAACAUGUCGAAGAGGGCA